RNAcentral lists this ribosomal RNA (460 nucleotides) under Nocardiaceae bacterium 'ARUP UnID 451'. Its description in RNAcentral is "bacterial SSU rRNA". It matches the Rfam family "Bacterial small subunit ribosomal RNA", at positions 27 to 504 of the family's 1533-position model. The record is from RNAcentral. Lineage: Bacteria; Bacillati; Actinomycetota; Actinomycetes; Mycobacteriales; Nocardiaceae.
GGACGAACGCUGGCGGCGUGCUUAACACAUGCAAGUCGAGCGGUAAGGCCCUUCGGGGUACACGAGCGGCGAACGGGUGAGUAACACGUGGGUGAUCUGCCUCGCACUCUGGGAUAAGCCUGGGAAACUGGGUCUAAUACCGGAUACGACCAGSSKMUGCAUGKKSSUUGGUGGAAAGGUUUACUGGUGCGAGAUGGGCCCGCGGCCUAUCAGCUUGUUGGUGAGGUAACGGCUCACCAAGGCGACGACGGGUAGCCGACCUGAGAGGGUGACCGGCCACACUGGGACUGAGACACGGCCCAGACUCCUACGGGAGGCAGCAGUGGGGAAUAUUGCACAAUGGGCGAAAGCCUGAUGCAGCGACGCCGCGUGAGGGAUGACGGCCUUCGGGUUGUAAACCUCUUUCGACAGGGACGAAGCGCAAGUGACGGUACCUGUAGAAGAAGCACCGGCUAACUAC